This 238-nucleotide unclassified non-coding RNA is filed under the name Hevea brasiliensis (rubber tree). Lineage: Eukaryota; Viridiplantae; Streptophyta; Magnoliopsida; Malpighiales; Euphorbiaceae. The record is from RNAcentral.
GUAUUCCACAAGCUUGUGAGAAUGUCGACCAAGAGGUCCAGCAUAUAUCACUUGUCCUCCUCUUUUCAUCAAUAAGAGCUCAUCAAAAGCUUCAAAGAUAUCAAUGCUCGGUUGGUGAAUUGUGCAAACAACAGUUCGUCCUGUAUCCACUGUAUUCCUUACUGUACGCAUAACGAUUGCUGCAGCUCUAGCAUCAAGGCCUGAUGUGGGCUCAUCCAUAAAGAUAAUUGAUGGAUUA